This 203-nucleotide long non-coding RNA is filed under the name Elaeis guineensis (African oil palm). RNAcentral's name for it is "long non-coding RNA (EGUI_LNC002962)". Lineage: Eukaryota; Viridiplantae; Streptophyta; Magnoliopsida; Arecales; Arecaceae. The record is from RNAcentral.
CAGGCAUAAGUUUUGUACAUGAGCUCGGCCCAUCAGUGUCAAAGCCAAGCAACCAAAUACAACCUAAAAAUAAUAUAAAUUUAGUGAGAAAAAUACUUGUUUCAUUUUUUUUUUGUUCUUUGCUAAAUGCUUAUAUUUAUUUUUUUUGGAAUUAACAUAAAAAGGCUGACAGUAAGAUUGUUAAAACUAAUAUGAUCUAGGGA